GUGAGGAAUUUUCCGCAAUGGGCGAAAGCCUGACGGAGCAAUGCCGCGUGAAGGAUGAAGGCCUAUGGGUUGUAAACUUCUUUUCUUAGAGAAGAAUAUUGACGGUAUCUGAGGAAUAAGCAUCGGCUAACUCUGUGCCAGCAGCCGCGGUAAGACAGAGGAUGCAAGCGUUAUCCGGAAUGAUUGGGCGUAAAGCGUCUGUAGGUGGCUUCAAAAGACUCCUGUCAAAGAUCAGGGCUUAACCCUGGGCAGGCAGGAGAAACUCUGAGGCUAGAGUUUGGUAGGGGCAGAGGGAAUUCCCGGUGGCGCGGUGAAAUGCGUAGAGAUCGGGAGGAACACCAAAGGCGAAAGCACUCUGCUGGGCCACAACUGACACUGAGAGACGAAAGCGAGGGGAGCAAAAGGGAUUAGAAACCCUAGUAGUCC
RNAcentral lists this ribosomal RNA (426 nucleotides) under uncultured bacterium. Its description in RNAcentral is "partial 16S ribosomal RNA". It matches the Rfam family "Bacterial small subunit ribosomal RNA", at positions 354 to 796 of the family's 1533-position model. The record is from RNAcentral.